GUUGCUUUUUUGAUCCUUCGAUGUCGGCUCUUUCCUAUCAUUGAGACGCAGAAGUCUCAAAGUGUCGAUUGUUCACCCGCCAAUAGGGAACGUGAGCUGGGUUUAGACCGUCGUGAGACAGGUUAGUUUUACCCUACUGACAAAGUAGAUACUGCGACAGUAGUCGAAGUUAGUACGAGAGGAACACUUCGUCCAGAUACUUGGUUAAUGCCGUUGUCUGAAAAGACAGUACGGCGAAGCUACCAUCUGCUGGAUUACGGCUGAACGCCUCUAAGCCGGAAUCCAUGCUGGAUAAGCAGUGUUGUACACCGUGCUCAAUGCUACAAGAAAAAGGCUAGGUCAGGCUUCGGCCUGACCAAAAUUCAAGCUGCUAUACCUCUGGCUGCAUUGACUUGUGGUCAGAGUGUAUGGUGAUCAUAGCAAUUGCAAGUAUUGGGCUCGAUAAAUCCUUUGAAGACGACUUAAUUGCAUCCGGGUAUUGUAAGUGUUGAGAGUAGGCUUAGUCUUACGAUCCACUGAGAUUCAUCCCGUGUUGCGCCGAUUUGU
RNAcentral lists this non-coding RNA (546 nucleotides) under Perkinsus marinus ATCC 50983. Its description in RNAcentral is "Eukaryotic large subunit ribosomal RNA". It matches the Rfam family "Eukaryotic large subunit ribosomal RNA", at positions 2862 to 3401 of the family's 3401-position model. The record is from Rfam by way of RNAcentral. Lineage: Eukaryota; Perkinsozoa; Perkinsida; Perkinsidae.